CGUUUUCGAGAUAUUACUUAAAAUCGGAAAUCUGACGAGGUGAAACUUCAAGCUAAAGCUAGCGGUAGCGCCUCGACAGUGCCGUAUACUCACAGAUGGCAAUUCUAUUUGUCCUGUAUGCAAUGUAGCAAUAAUUGCACAUAAAAAAGAAUCGAAAAAUGCAGUUAGCUUUGCGCCUUUACCACCAAAAAUACGUGACGAUAGAUGCCGUACCUGCGGUGAAAUUUGUGAGAGUGUAAACAAAUGUAAACAUUGUAAACGUAGAUUUUGUGAUGACUGCUGGUCAAAUCAUGUUAAUGAUUUGAAAGAUGAACUAGGCAAUAUAAAUAGAGAUCUCCAGACAUCAGCAAUAAAAUUUGAAGAUAAAAUAAAUAACUUUCAGAGCAAAGCAAAUGAAACAAUAGAAUUCAUCAAUAGAGACAUCGAAGCUAAAAUAUCUGAACUUAAUAAAAAAAGAGAGAGCCAGAUUAAGAAGAUAGAACAUAUGAUUGCUGCAGGAGGAAUAUCGGUUGACAAUAUUAGACAAAGAAUGCAAAAAACACAGAUGGAGAUAAAGGAACAGAAGGAAGUGUCAUAUAAUACACUAUCUAAUAACGAGGAAAAGGUAUGACAU
Long non-coding RNA from Wasmannia auropunctata (little fire ant), 613 nucleotides. RefSeq lists it as uncharacterized. NCBI's taxonomy places the organism in Eukaryota, Metazoa, Arthropoda, Insecta, Hymenoptera, Formicidae. The transcript has 4 exons. The record is from RefSeq and is a predicted model, not a curated record.